Molecule: transfer RNA, 70 nt
Filed under: Reticulitermes ovatilabrum
Lineage: Eukaryota; Metazoa; Arthropoda; Insecta; Blattodea; Rhinotermitidae
Description: tRNA-Ile
Source: RNAcentral
AAUGGAGAGCCUGAUUAAAGGACUAUCGUGAUAGGAUAAAAGAUGUAGAACCAGAAAUCUACCUUCAUUA